CACGUAGGACGCAAGCGUUAUCCGGAAUUACUGGGCGUAAAGGGCGCGUAGGCGGCCUUGUAAGUCCCGUGUGAAAUCCCUCGGCUCAACUGAGGAACUGCACGGGAAACUGCUUGGCUUGAGUUCGGGAGAGGGAAGCGGAAUUCCGGGUGUAGCAGUGAAAUGCGUAGAUAUCGUGAGGAAUACCAGAGGCGAAGGCGGCUACCUGGACAAUUGCUGACGCUCAGGCACGAAAGCGUGGGGAGCAAAAGGG
This 253-nucleotide ribosomal RNA is filed under the name uncultured bacterium. RNAcentral's name for it is "partial 16S ribosomal RNA". It matches the Rfam family "Bacterial small subunit ribosomal RNA", at positions 524 to 776 of the family's 1533-position model. The record is from RNAcentral.